UACAGAGGGUGCGAGCGUUAAUCGGAAUUACUGGGCGUAAAGGGCGCGUAGGCGGUUAGAUAAGUAAGAUGUGAAAGCCCCGGGCUUAACCUGGGAAGAGCAUCUUAGACUGUUUAACUGGAGUACGGGAGAGGGUAGCGGAAUUUCCGGUGUAGCGGUGAAAUGCGUAGAUAUCGAGAGGAAUACCAACGGCGAAGGCAGCACUCUGGGCAGUUUCUGACACUGAGGCACGAAGGCUAGGGGAGCAAACGGG
Molecule: ribosomal RNA, 253 nt
Filed under: uncultured bacterium
Lineage: Bacteria
Description: partial 16S ribosomal RNA
Rfam family: Bacterial small subunit ribosomal RNA
Source: RNAcentral